Long non-coding RNA from Astatotilapia calliptera (eastern happy), 1000 nucleotides. NCBI's taxonomy places the organism in Eukaryota, Metazoa, Chordata, Actinopteri, Cichliformes, Cichlidae. The record is from Ensembl.
GAGACACAGGCAUUAGAGCCUCUUAAUGCUUGUUUUGUUUGGGUUUCCACCAGAGUGGAAUUAACAAAAAAUAGAGAGGGCAUAGCCUAACAUACGAAAUAGGAAAAUAAUGAUGUGUAAUCUAUUUAUUUCAACAAAAAAACUGUAUUCUGAAUACCACCUAUUUACACAGUAACUGUAACGGAAUACAGUUACUCGUAUUUUAAAUACGUGACAGUGUUACAUGUAUUUCGUUACUCCCAAACACUGCAAACAUAUCUGUAGUAUUAUUAGAAUCAUGAGAUUACAACACAUUUACCUCUCCUCCACUUCUUUGAAGUGUGUCCCAGUCCUAGCGCACUGGUUAGCAUGUUUUGGUUCGUGCAACUGGUCCGUCGGGUUAUUGUCUCCCCAGGAACAUUUCUGUUGUCUUUUUUCCUAUUUCCGUUGUGCUUUGUGUGCUUUUGCAGCACUUGCUUUUCUUUUUGCAACGUUUUUUCUUUUUGCGGCAUUUUUCUUUUUGCAGUGCAGCGUUUUUCUUGAAGUUGCAGUGCAGCGUCUUUCUUUUUGCAGCGUUUUCCUUUUUGCAGCAUUUUUCUUUUUGCAAGUGUUUUCUUAAGUUGCAGUCCGUUUGGCCUCUCAGGGCCACCGUAGUUUUGUGUUGUUUCACUUUAAAUUUGUUUAAAAGGGGAAAGCUGAAAAUUUAAAUAGUUAAAAGUUGAAAUGAGAAUAGCUGGAUUUUGUAUUAUAUGAUUUAUUUAUUACAUUUUAUGUGGAGUAAAUAAAUAAAAGUAUGUUCAUGGUGGCCCCUAGAAACAAAACACGUACAAACUCCAAAACACGUAAAAACUCAGAAAGCACAUAAAAACUCAAAACACGUACAAAAGACAACAGAAGUGCUCCAGAAUGCUAGGUCCAGUGUUGAGCUUUUGUUACCUAGUGGCUAUACAAGCCAGGAAGUACCAACGACCGGAUUUGGUGUGUGGUAGUAGAAGGUAAACGAACAUUUUUUAAAAUUAUU